Long non-coding RNA from Diceros bicornis minor, 4254 nucleotides. RefSeq lists it as uncharacterized. The transcript is spliced from 3 exons. The record is from RefSeq and is a predicted model, not a curated record. NCBI's taxonomy places the organism in Eukaryota, Metazoa, Chordata, Mammalia, Perissodactyla, Rhinocerotidae.
UAUUUUUUUGAGGAUUUUUGCAUUCAUAUUCAUAAUAGAAUAUGGAUAGAAUAGGCUAGAAUAUCAUAACAGAUUGGUGUGUGGUUUUCUUAUGUUGUCUUUGUCUGGUUUGGUAUCAAGGUAAUACAUCAUAGAAUGACUUGGGAAAUAUUUCUUCUAUUUUUUGAAAGAGUUUUCAAGUAUUAGUAUUAAUUCUUCUUUAAAUGUUUGGUGGAGGGGCUGGCCCAGUGGCUAGUGGUUAACUUUGCCAAUUCCGCUUCGGAGGCCUGGGGUUCGCAGGUUUGGACCCCUGGUACAGACCAAUGCACCGCUUGUCAAGCCAUGCUGUGGUGGCAUCCCAUAUAAAGUAGAGGAAGAUGGGCACAGAUGUUAGCCCAGGGCCAAUCUUCCUCAGCAAAAAGAGGAUUGGCAACGGAUGUUAGCUCAGGGCUAAUCUUCCUCACAAAAGGAAAAAAAAACAAUAAAUGUUUGGUAGAAUUCAGUAGUGAGGCCAUCUGGUCCAGGGCUUUUGUGUGUAGUUUUUUUUUUGUUUUGUUUUUAAUUUCUAAUUCUCUCUCUCUUCUUGUUAUAGAUCUAUUCAGAUUGUCUAUUUCUUCUUGAGUCAAUUAGGUACUUUGGGACUGUCUAGGAAGCUGCCUAUUUCAUCUAAGUUGUCUAAGCUUUUGGAUCAGAUUUUUGGAGUGACAUCAGCAUCACGGCAGAGUGAGCUUUCCCAUAAACUCUCCCUGGAUAAAUUACAAGAAAAAAGACAUUCACAUGCCAACAAAGGACACUCACACAACACAAGAGGACAGCUGAGAGACCCAUGCAGCCGCACAUCAGAGGGUGGAGGUGCUGGAGCCCCUGGAGGAAGUCGGGAGAAAUAACAUACCUGGCUCCAGGCAUCUAAUCUGGAUUACAACCUUAUGCGUAUGAUGGAAUAAGGAAUAAAGAUUUAUAAGGAUUACAUCCCCUUAUGCCUGUGAUGGAAUAACAAGAACCAGACUUCCCUACAGCAUCCAACAAGCGAAGAGCCAGAUGAACUACAUGAAUCAAACAUUUUCAGAUACUGGACAACAGGAGCUCAGGACAGUGUCUGGAGGCAGGAACCAAGUGAGGGGUCCCCACAGCUUCCCCAGCUCAGAGCCUACAGAGAGCUUCUAGAUCAGAGUGAGGAGGGGAUUCAGGCAGAGCAUGGAGGUACCCCUGAGUCAAGGAAACAGGGUUCAGAAUUUGAGGAGGGAAACACAGCUAGAAAUCUAGGGCCCAAGUACCAAAGAGGAGGGAGCUGCACAGGUCAAGUUCUGGAGAUCUGCAUGUGUGUUUGCUUGACUUUUUGCCUAGGCACUGAUCAGUGUAUGCAUGUGAGCAAACUACCCAGACUGGGUAAGAACCACCGGACAGAAGCAGGCUGAACAAUCCCUGGGGUCAGUCAGAGCUGGGAAGAUUUCAUGACCCCAGCAGCCAGAGUGGAAAACCUCCUAUCUGAUGGGUCAUAGUAUAGAGUCCUCAGACAGGUAUUGCUCUGUAGGGGAGCCAAAUUACCCUGUGUUGGUCUCACCUAACAAAACUUUAAAAGUAUCCUCAAAAAGACCAAACUGUUUCUAACUAACUGCAUUAUAAAACAAAGUCCAAAAAUAUUUAAAGGAACACUGUGGUGGUUAAUUUUACGCCUCAAUUUGACUAGGCUAAGGGAUGCCCAAAUAGCUGAUAAAGCAUUAUUUCUGGGUUUUUCUGUGAGAGUGCUUCUGGAAAAGGUUAGCAUUUAUAUGGUAGACUGAGUAAAGAAAAUGUGCCCUCACCAAUGUGGGUGGGCAUCAUCUAAUCCAUUGAGGGCCCAAAUAGAACAAAAAGAUGGAGGAAGGACGAAUUCUGUCUCUAUUUGAGCUGGGACAUCUGAACUUCUGGUUCUUGCACCAUCAGCCCUUGGACUGAAUUAUACCACCAGCUUUCCUGGUUCUUCAGCUUGCAGACGGCAUGUCAUGGGACUUCUCAGCCUCUAUAACUGUGUGAGCCAGUUCCUAUAACAAAUCUCCUCUUAUCUAUAUCUACAUGUAUCCUAUUGGUUCUGUUUCUCUGAAGAAUCCUGACUAAUACAAACACACACGCGUGCGUGCGCGCAAAAUUCACCAACAUAAAAUUCACAAUAUCUAGCCUCUAGUCCAAAAUUACAAGGCACGCACGAAAGCUUAGAAGUUCAAUUCAUAACGAAGAGAAAUCAACCAAUAGAAACCCACCCAUAAGUGACAUUUAUGAAAGAAUUAGUAUAUAAAGACUUGCAAAUAUCUAUUAUACACAGAUGCCCUACAGUCACAAAGGUGAAGGAAAUUAUGACCCUAAGAAGAUAAAUGGGCAAUAUAAAAAUGACUGAGAUGAAAAAUCAAAGCACCCUCACCUUCUCAUUAAAAUUAGAAUGAGGUAGCAUAAUAUGGUGAUGGACUGUAGAGCCAAAGUGCCAAGUUCUAUUCCUAGCUCUGAAAAUUACCACCAUGGGGUCCUGUUCCAGUUAGGGAAACAUGCUGUGCUUUAGUUUUCUGUUUUGAAAAAUGAAGACAGUAAUAAUGCCUUCCUUUUAGGUUGCUAUAAAGAUAAGUGGGUUAAUAUUUUUAAGAAAUAUAGAAGAUAUUUUAUGGGCUGUAUAAAUGCUUAUGAAAUUAACUGAAAGACACAUAAGCCAGUGGCCUGCCAUAAACACAGUAAGUACCUCCAUUUUACCUCCUUCUUUAUUGUUGCAAUUUCAGCUGCAUUAACACUGAAAUCCUGGGCUAUGUCUCUUUUCUCUGCAUCCUCAGGGCCUAUUCUAGAGCCCAGAGGGCAGGAAAUUCUCCCUUUAUGGAAAUUUUUUUGUUCAUAUUGUUAAAGGUUUCAUUUUUAUUUUUUUUUAAUUUAUUUUUGUUAGGAAGAUCAGCCCUGAGCUAACAUCCAUGCCAAUCCUCCCCUUUUUUUGCUGAGGAAGACCAGCCCUGAGCUAACACCAUACCUAUCUUCCUCUACUUUAUGUGGGACGCUGCCACAGCAUCGCCUGACAAGCGGUGCAUUGGUGUGUGCCCAGGGUCCGAAUAAAGGUUUUAUUUUUAUAAUCAAAUAACUGCAGCUGAUAAGCACCAAAGCUGUCACCUAUAAAGACCAUACUCCAACUCAGGCAUGGGUCCCCACUAUGCAAAGAAGAGCUGCUACUAGGAAAGCUGGUGGCAAAUGCAAGAGCAAAUGACAGGAAUCUUCAAAGUUCAAAGUCCAUGGUGAUGUCAGAGUCGAGGCCAGAGUGGUCUCAGACAGAGUAGACCCUGCAGCCACAGGGCACACCCCUGAUGUUCCUGCCCAUCUCCCACUGGCUUUGGGGAACCUCACAAAGGCAGCUUGUUCCAAAGUUGGUACCCCGAGUCUACUCAUUUAGGUACACAAGCUUUAUUUGUUGUUGUUAGUGUUUCCAUCAAAUCUCUUCAAUUUGAACCUUUCAGUAUUUCCUAGGUUUUAGAUGUUUUGCUUAUAAAAAGCAUAUAGCUAAAUACUGCUUAUUUUUUCCACUAUAAGUCAUUUAACUGGAUGAUUUAGUCCAUUUACAUUGAAUGUAAGUAAUGAUAUGUUUAUAUUUAAAUAGAUCAUCUUAUUUUGUGCUUCCCAUUUGUUCCAUUUGUUCUGUAUCCCCUCCCCUUUUCCAUCCUUAAAUCUUUUUGGGUUGACAACUUUUAAUCAUUCUAUCUUUUUUCUCUCUUCCAGGCUGAAGUUACUUAUUCUAUUAUUUUUAUUCUAGAGAUUAGUAUAGAAAUGCACCACAUGCAUUAGUAUUUAGCAAAGUCCAAUAUUAGUUGGUGUUUACUAUCUUCCUAGAAAAUAAAAAGUUUAGAGUUAUGAACACUUUUCUGCAUAUGUUUUAGAAAAUAUAUGUACCCAUAUCUGUUGGAACUAGGAGUGAAAUUGCUGAGUAGUAGGAUAUACAGAUGUCAGCUUUAAUAUUUAAUACUGCCAAACAAUUUUAUAAUAUGAUUGAACCAAUUUACAUUCCCAUUAGUAGUGUAUGUUGUGCAUUUUCCCUCAUCAUUGCAAACAUGUAGCAUUGCCUAUCUUUUAUUUUACUGGAUCUGGUGGCUGUGAGUUGGUAUCUCAUUGUGGUUUUAUUUUAUAUUUUCCUGAUGCCUAAUGAAGUUGAGUACCUUUUCCUAUGUUUAUUGGCCAUUUGGAUAUCCUACUCUUUUUUUCCCUUUUGAUAUCCUUUUUGUGUAUUCAUGUUUCAUGCUCAUUGUUCUAUUGCAUUGACUGUCUGUUAUUGAUUUCUAG